AACGCGAAGAACCUUACCUACUCUUGACAUCCAGAGAACUUUCCAGAGAAGGAUUGGUGCCUUCGGGAACUCUGAGACAGGUGCUGCAUGGCUGUCGUCAGCUCGUGUUGUGAAAUGUUGGGUUAAGUCCCGCAACGAGCGCAACCCUUAUCCUUUGUUGCCAGCGAUUCGGUCGGGAACUCAAAGGAGACUGCUGGUGAUAAACCGGAGGAAGGUGGGGAUGACGUCAAGUCAUCAUGGCCCUUACGAGUAGGGCUACACACGUGCUACAAUGGCGCAUACAAAGAGAAGCGACCUCGCGAGAGCAAGCGGACCUCACAAAGUGCGUCGUAGUCCGGAUCGGAGUCUGCAACUCGACUCCAUGAAGUCGGAAUCGCUAGUAAUCGUAGAUCAGAAUGCUACGGUGAAUACGUUCCCGGGCCUUGUACACACCG
This 434-nucleotide ribosomal RNA is filed under the name uncultured bacterium. RNAcentral's name for it is "bacterial SSU rRNA". It matches the Rfam family "Bacterial small subunit ribosomal RNA", at positions 958 to 1392 of the family's 1533-position model. The record is from RNAcentral.